GCUGGAAUAGCUCAUUUGGGAGAGCAUUAGACUGAAAAUCUAUAAAUCCCUGGUUCGAUCCCGGGUUUCGGCA
Molecule: non-coding RNA, 73 nt
Organism: Pseudophryne corroboree (corroboree frog)
Lineage: Eukaryota; Metazoa; Chordata; Amphibia; Anura; Myobatrachidae
Source: the annotation of a RefSeq genome assembly